RNAcentral lists this ribosomal RNA (252 nucleotides) under Romboutsia timonensis. RNAcentral's name for it is "partial 16S ribosomal RNA". It matches the Rfam family "Bacterial small subunit ribosomal RNA", at positions 524 to 776 of the family's 1533-position model. RNAcentral also lists the same sequence under 1 other name. The record is from RNAcentral. Lineage: Bacteria; Bacillati; Bacillota; Clostridia; Peptostreptococcales; Peptostreptococcaceae.
UACGUAGGGGGCUAGCGUUAUCCGGAAUUACUGGGCGUAAAGGGUGCGUAGGUGGUUUCUUAAGUCAGAGGUGAAAGGCUACGGCUCAACCGUAGUAAGCCUUUGAAACUGGGAAACUUGAGUGCAGGAGAGGAGAAUGGAAUUCCUAGUGUAGCGGUGAAAUGCGUAGAUAUUAGGAGGAACACCAGUUGCGAAGGCGGCUCUCUGGACUGUAACUGACACUGAGGCACGAAAGCGUGGGGAGCAAACAGG